RNAcentral lists this ribosomal RNA (382 nucleotides) under Saxifraga carpetana. Its description in RNAcentral is "5.8S ribosomal RNA". The stretch from base 224 to 379 matches the Rfam family "5.8S ribosomal RNA". Lineage: Eukaryota; Viridiplantae; Streptophyta; Magnoliopsida; Saxifragales; Saxifragaceae. The record is from RNAcentral.
GUGCCUCCCCCGCGAGCACCCUUGGUUUCCCGACAACGUCGGGGCGGCUUGGCGUUCUUUUAUCCCGGCGACUUGAAACUCGCCCGGGCUAACAGANGCAUGGCUUAACCAACGGAACAAAAAACCGGCGUGAAAACGCCAAGGAACAUGAAAGAGAGUGCGCUCUUUUGGUGUCAGCACUGCUGCGCCAGGACGGGCGUUGUCUUCUUGAUGAGUUUAUAAUGACUCUCGGCAACGGAUAUCUCGGCUCUUACAUCGAUGAAGAACGUAGCAAAAUGCGAUACUUGGUGUGAAUUGCAGAAUCCCGUGAACCAUCGAGUCUUUGAACGCAAGUUGCGCCCGAAUCCUUUUGGUCGAGGGCACGUCUGCCUGGGUGUCACGU